UACAGAGGUCCCGAGCGUUGUUCGGAUUCAUUGGGCGUAAAGGGUGCGUAGGCGGCGGGCAAGUCUGAUGUGAAAUCCCGGGCUCAACCCGGAACUGCAUUGGAUACUGCCUUGCUUGAGUACUGGAGAGGGAACUGGAAUUACGGUGUAGCAGUGAAAUGCGUAGAGAUCGUAAGGAAGGCCAGUGGCGAAGGCGAGUUCCUGGACAGUUACUGACGCUGAGGCACGAAGGCCAGGGAGCAAACGGG
This 248-nucleotide ribosomal RNA is filed under the name uncultured bacterium. RNAcentral's name for it is "partial 16S ribosomal RNA". It matches the Rfam family "Bacterial small subunit ribosomal RNA", at positions 524 to 776 of the family's 1533-position model. The record is from RNAcentral.